GGAGAGGUGUCCGAGUGGUUGAUGGUGCCGCUCUCGAAAAGCGGUAGGCCGAUGAGGCCUCGUGGGUUCGAAUCCCACCCUCUCCGCCA
RNAcentral lists this transfer RNA (89 nucleotides) under Chloroflexota bacterium. Its description in RNAcentral is "Chloroflexi bacterium (sediment metagenome) tRNA-Ser". It matches the Rfam family "tRNA". From Rfam's summary of the family: Transfer RNA (tRNA) molecules are approximately 80 nucleotides in length. Their secondary structure includes four short double-helical elements and three loops (D, anti-codon, and T loops). The record is from RNAcentral. Lineage: Bacteria; Bacillati; Chloroflexota.